UUUUUUUGUCCUUUACACUGUGCUACAGGCCAUUAAAGCAAGAACACAAAAAAAUGAAGGACAUGUUUUUGACCGGCUACAGUUGUUCUUGCUGUCUUAUGUUACAGUCUUAAUACUGACUCAGUGUCCAAUGCAACACCAGAGAUAUCCUUUUCAGCGUGCAAUUCAGCAGAAAGAAUUGGAUAAUUUUGGCAUUCUAGCAUAUUCCGUAAGCGGGCUUGUAGCAAGACACUUAUGUAACAGAGAAAAAAGAAAAGUUGCCUGAGUUGUUCAGAGAGCAUUUCCAAACAUAACAGUCUCUCAAGCAUCUGAAGGACAUCUCCAUGGCAGCUGAAAAGCAUCUCUGCAGCUUCACAUUUUGACCUGGACACAUCAGUAUUAAGAAGAUAGACUGGAAGAUGCUGAGAAAAGAGAAGCCAGUUUAAUGAAAGGAACUGGAACAUCCAAAAAAAAUAAAAUUACUGAAAAUUAUAUCUCUUGUAGAUAAUUUUAGCCAAAACUCUGUAUAGACACAGACUGAAAUUACAAUGUGAAGCGAGUAAAAAAUAAGGAAAGAAGGCCAGAAUUCAGUAUAUCUGUUUCCGAUCAUUCAUUGGAAAUCAACUCUGAAUAAGAAAAAAUAACAUACAGAUUUCCAGGCCUUUGAAAAAUGCCAAAAUAUUUCCACAGCUGCUAUUUCUGAUCUGAAGGACAUUGUCAGUUGCCUCAUUUAUUGAGAGGAUUUUUGCAGAGAAGACAUAGAUAGAAAUUAACAGCAAAAUGAACCCCGGACUUUUGGAUGAUUUAAAUAAAUGGUGCUUAUUUUUAGGUGUUGUCCCCUGAGACAACAGCACUGAAWCCAGAUAGAGAUGAGAAGCUUUCUUUUCCAGGGCAAGACAGGAAGGAAAUCACCCAGACCAACAGUAUAUUUCUAAAAGCUAUUCUCCAAUCUACUCAGAUCCACGCACACAGUAUGGAGACACAGGAAAUGAACUGCACUCAUUGAGGCACUCUGCACCUGCAUUGCAAGUGUUUGUGGAAAAUGGCACAGAAAAGAAGAAUUACAGAAAUGUUUUAAGAUGCCCUCUGUUGCAUUUCACUGAUGACCAUGGAAACAAGCUGUUAUUUCAAGCUUAAUCCCAGUCAUAGAGCUGACACAGGAUGGAUGGCAUGAUGGGGAGGAACAAGGAUGAAAGCUCAGRACAACAGGCAGUCAGGCAAUAUCCUAUGGAUGCCCCAGAGCAGCACUCCUUUAUUGCCACACAAACCUUCACCAUACAAGCCAUCCUUCUUCAGCACUACCAGUGCAAGGGACAGAGCUGCUGCACAGUCUGGGAUGGACCCAACUAUGGAUACUCUAUGGAUACUGCCUUAGGAAGACUCUCCUGAAUCACUCCAUCCUCCCGCCCAUACAYGACACAAAUCCCUCAGUAUAAGUAUUAAAGUUUUAUAUAGAAGAUUACCUAAGAAGAAAGAAAAAUAGAGACUGGAGUAGAAGGAAGCAUAAGAGCACAGGUGUGACAAGAAGACCAAGCUUUUCUAGUAGCUCAAUUUUGUCAAAUAAAGAAAAAAGGAUGGAGUGAAUAAGGCAGCAUGUGGAAGAAAGAAGUCACAGGGAGAUGUUUAGAACAAUGAACACCUUAUUUUGAUGACUAAGAAGAAAUAUCCUUUUAAGAAAAUGUAGUAAAUCUGCAACAACCACAUGUGAAAUAAUGUAAGAAAGAAACUAUAGAAUCAGUUUAUUUUGUGAUMCAAAUCACAAAAUAAUUUCACUUUAUAAAUAAUUAAACUUGUUAAGCAAAUUCCUCUUGCUAAACACCAAUGUGACUAAGUUGUUAAAACAUUGGACUCAUUUAGUAAUGGCUAACUACCUAUACUGAAAGGCUAAAUAAAUAAUGUCUGUUGAGAUUUUAGUUAUACUCUUCUCAUGCUUUUGUUUACCACAAAUCGUGUGCCAAGUUUCAGAACAGUUUCUCAAGUCAUUGUGCUCAGUAGGCAUUUAUUCACCUGUUGUGCUCAGGGCACAGUUAAAACACAAUACCUGCUUCUCCAGUAAUAUUUGCCUUUGAUAUAUGUCCAUUG
This is a long non-coding RNA of Malurus melanocephalus (red-backed fairy wren), 2061 nucleotides long. RefSeq lists it as uncharacterized. The transcript has 3 exons. Lineage: Eukaryota; Metazoa; Chordata; Aves; Passeriformes; Maluridae. The record is from RefSeq and is a predicted model, not a curated record.